RNAcentral lists this transfer RNA (73 nucleotides) under Phycisphaerae bacterium. RNAcentral's name for it is "tRNA-Val". It matches the Rfam family "tRNA". From Rfam's summary of the family: Transfer RNA (tRNA) molecules are approximately 80 nucleotides in length. The record is from RNAcentral. RNAcentral also lists the same sequence under 3 other names. Lineage: Bacteria; Pseudomonadati; Planctomycetota; Phycisphaerae.
GGGCGAUUAGCUCAAUUGGCAGAGCACCUCGUUUACACCGAGGGGGUCGGGGGUUCAAGUCCCUCAUCGCCCA